CGUCUACCGUAAUUGUUACAGGCUUGAUUGACAGAGACUGGAAACUGACAGAUCGAUAGUUAGUGGAUGAGAAUACAACCUCAAUUUGUCUCCCAAGGCACCCUGGAAGUGGUACCACCAAUUGAAAGUUGGACGCUGCUGUCGAUACUUGACUGGGCUGGUGGAUGGUGUACCUGAUACGGGAAGGAGCUGCAUGACACUCGGAGUGUUUUGGAACCUGUAAGCUUACCCCACAUGGUGAGAUCACAAAAAGCCAAAUUCAUCAGAUAAGCAUCAUGAGAGUUCGUCAGGUAUGACUCUAUCCCUCUGAAUUUGCGUCCGUUCUAUAGACACGACUUGACUGGAGGACACACACUGAGGCACUUGUUUGUUUAAAACCCCUGAGCCUUUUAGCCAUCCAUUUUCAUUAAUUUUAUCCUUUGCUAACCCUGUUGAGCCUGUAUCCAUUUGUUUGUUUUCAACCACAUGUAUAAACCAUUGGCCAAACACUCCUUACCCUUGUUUAGUACGAAUGUGGUGUUUCUUGAAAGUGUGCAAUAAUUCAAGUUUGGGGUGAUACGUGUAAAAGAAAGGCGAAGAAAGAAAGAAAAAAAUGAAAAAUGAAAA
This 606-nucleotide long non-coding RNA is filed under the name Lathyrus oleraceus (garden pea). RNAcentral's name for it is "Pisum sativum (pea) long non-coding RNA (PSAT_LNC039453)". Lineage: Eukaryota; Viridiplantae; Streptophyta; Magnoliopsida; Fabales; Fabaceae. The record is from RNAcentral.